GGUGUCUAUGACUGUCUAAUCAGCAACAAAAAGCCUCUUGGAUACUUUGACAUGAAGCCAGACGCGGCUGCAUUGACCAUCAGAAAACAAAAGGCUCCAAAAUGUGAUGGUCCAUUCACAUUAACUGAGGUCGGGUGCAUAAUGCUGCUGGAAGAACUCCGUAUUGCCAAAACUUGUCGUAGGUUAUGUCAGUCUCUGGAUGCAGAUCUUGCUGUCGUGGAGAUGAAUGAACAGCAAAAGAAGUUAUGGGAUAUACUGAAAAGCAUCUACAAUAAGCGUAAGUCCUCCUAUUUCUCUAUAUGCACGCAUGCAGGAAAAUGCUGAAGAAGAAAUUGCACUCCUUUAUCUGAGAUCAGCCAACUUUUCUUUCUUCUGGAUUGGAAUUGAGAAGAGCCAGUGGCUCACUGGUGUACCUGUGACCACUUUUACAUCACCAAAUAGUUGUGGAACCAUUCGGGAAAACGGAGUCAUUAGGGAAUCGCUAGAAUGUGCAGAAGCUCUUAAUUGUGUCUGUCAACGUUUCGUGUAUGAGUAAACAUCUUCAGUCACAAUGAGGAAGGAACCCAAGUUUAGCUUUGAUGAACACCUAUCAUGUUUGUGUUAGCCUUUUUGUGUGUAAGAAUGAACUUUGUCGUUAAUAGGGUUAUUUCUGGGUCCGACAGACUUUUUUCUUACGGAACUCUCUGGAAGUUAGAAUUGAGGAAUUCCAGUUUACUAGUGAAAAAACAAUAAUAAUAGAUGGGCAACUGGGGAAUUUUUUUUUAUGCAAUGUUGUAUGUAGCAACCUUACUGACCA
This is an RNA transcript of Macrobrachium nipponense, 796 nucleotides long. RefSeq lists it as uncharacterized. The record is from RefSeq and is a predicted model, not a curated record. The transcript is spliced from 3 exons. Lineage: Eukaryota; Metazoa; Arthropoda; Malacostraca; Decapoda; Palaemonidae.